GCAAUGGACGAAAGUCUGACCGAGCAACGCCGCGUGAGUGAAGAAGGUUUUCGGAUCGUAAAGCUCUGUUGUAAGUCAAGAACGUGUGUGAGAGUGGAAAGUUCACACAGUGACGGUAGCUUACCAGAAAGGGACGGCUAACUACGUGCCAGCAGCCGCGGUAAUACGUAGGUCCCGAGCGUUGUCCGGAUUUAUUGGGCGUAAGGGGAGCGCAGGCGGUCAGGAAAGUCUGGAGUAAAAGGCUAUGGCUCAACCAUAGUGUGCUCUGGAAACUGUCUGACUUGAGUGCAGAAGGGGAGAGUGGAAUUCCAUGUGUAGCGGUGAAAUGCGUAGAUAUAUGGAGGAACACCAGUGGCGAAAGCGGCUCUCUGGUCUGUCACUGACGCUGAGGCUCGAAAGCGUGGGUAGCGAACAGGAUUAGAUACCCUGGUAGUCCACGCCGUAAACGAUGAGUGCUAGGUGUUAGGCCCUUUCCGGGGCUUAGUGCCGGAGCUAACGCAAUAAGCACUCCGCCUGGGGGAGUACGACCGCAAGGUUGAAACUCAAAGGAAUUGACGGGGGCCCGCACAAGCGGUGGAGCAUGUGGUUUAAUUCGAAGCAACGCGAAGAACCU
Molecule: ribosomal RNA, 613 nt
Filed under: Streptococcus mutans
Lineage: Bacteria; Bacillati; Bacillota; Bacilli; Lactobacillales; Streptococcaceae
Description: bacterial SSU rRNA
Rfam family: Bacterial small subunit ribosomal RNA
Source: RNAcentral